ACGCUCGACACCUACUGGAGGCAGCAGUAGGGAAUCUUCCACAAUGGGCGCAAGCCUGAUGGAGCAACACCGCGUGAGUGAAGAAGGGUUUCGGCUCGUAAAGCUCUGUUGUUGGAGAAGAACGUGCGUGAGAGUAACUGUUCACGCAGUGACGGUAUCCAACCAGAAAGUCACGGCUAACUACGUGUCAGNNGCGAGUAUCNGAGGCGGNNGNAG
RNAcentral lists this ribosomal RNA (216 nucleotides) under uncultured bacterium. RNAcentral describes it as "partial 16S ribosomal RNA". It matches the Rfam family "Bacterial small subunit ribosomal RNA", at positions 328 to 535 of the family's 1533-position model. The record is from RNAcentral.